CCCUUAGAUGUCCUGGGCUGCACGCGCGCUACACUGACACAUGCAACGAGUUUUUCCUUACCUGAAAGGGUUGGGUAAUCUCCUUGAAAGUGUGUCGUGAUGGGGAUAGAUUAUUGCAAUUAUUAAUCUUCAACGAGGAAUUCCUAGUAAGUGCAAGUCAUCAGCUUGCGCUGAUUACGUCCCUGCCCUUUGUACACACCGCCCGUCGCUACUACCGAUUGAAUGGUUUAGUGAGAUCUCUGGAUUGACGCUGGCUAGGGGGCGACCCUUGGCCAGACUGUUGAGAAACUGCUCAAACUUGAUCAUUUAGAGGAAGUAAAAGUCGUAACA
This 330-nucleotide ribosomal RNA is filed under the name uncultured eukaryote. Its description in RNAcentral is "partial 18S ribosomal RNA". It matches the Rfam family "Eukaryotic small subunit ribosomal RNA", at positions 1470 to 1796 of the family's 1831-position model. The record is from RNAcentral.